GUCACGGGCAGCAGGCAGCCGAGCCGGUGCCCUCCACCUCACGGGAUGUGAGGCCACCUGCAAGGCCCCGGGUGCGGCCCACGGCGCCUCGUGCCACCCCCCGAAUGUCGAGGCAGGAGCGGCGCGACGAGGCUGCCAUGCAGGCUGUCGCCAACCAGACUCUCCAGCUGCAGGAGAACGAGACGAGGGACGCGCGGGACAUCGAGUUCCAAGGCCAGCUCCUGCGUUCCAUCGAGACCCUCAGCCACCGCAUGGAGGCUGUUGCGGAGUCGAACCAGGAGCAAGCUCGUGCCACACA
Molecule: long non-coding RNA, 298 nt
Organism: Ixodes scapularis (black-legged tick)
Lineage: Eukaryota; Metazoa; Arthropoda; Arachnida; Ixodida; Ixodidae
Exons: 3
Source: RefSeq, a predicted model, not a curated record